GACUGCGAGAAUGACAAUUCGAGCAGGGCGAAAGCAGUCAUAGUGAUCCGGUGUUCUGAAUGGAAGGCCAUCGCUCACGGAUAAAAGGUACUCCGGGGAUAACAGGCUGAUACCGCCCAAGAGUCAUAUCGACGGCGGUGUUUGGCACCUCGAUGUCGGCUCAUCACAUCCUGGGGCUGAAGUCGGUCCCAAGGGUAUGGCUGUUCGCCAUUUAAAGUGGUACGCGAGCUGGGUUUAGAACGUCGUGAGACAGUUCGGUCCCUAUCUGCCGUGGGCGUUGGAGAAUUGAAAGGGGCUGCUCCUAGUACGAGAGGACCGGAGUGGACGAACCUCUGGUGUUCGGGUUGUGUCGCCAGACGCAUUGCCCGGUAGCUAAGUUCGGGAUCGAUAACCGCUGAAAGCAUCUAAGCGGGAAGCGAGCCUUGAGAUGAGUUCUCCCUGAUACUUUAAGUAUCCUAAAGGGUUGUCGUAGACUACGACGUUGAUAGGCAGGGUGUGUAAGCGUUGUGAGGCGUUGAGCUAACCUGUACUAAUUGCCCGUGAGGCUUAACCAUACAACACCC
Molecule: ribosomal RNA, 563 nt
Filed under: Vibrio alginolyticus 12G01
Lineage: Bacteria; Pseudomonadati; Pseudomonadota; Gammaproteobacteria; Vibrionales; Vibrionaceae
Description: bacterial LSU rRNA
Rfam family: Bacterial large subunit ribosomal RNA
Source: RNAcentral